This is a non-coding RNA of Podarcis lilfordi (Lilford's wall lizard), 1212 nucleotides long. The record is from the annotation of a GenBank genome assembly. NCBI's taxonomy places the organism in Eukaryota, Metazoa, Chordata, Lepidosauria, Squamata, Lacertidae.
GUCCUAACUAUUCCUGUACAAAAAAUUUCACCACACAGCACAGGUUUAUUGUCUGUGAAACUCUGAAGAAGGGCUUUUUCGUAGUGUUUGUUUAUACGGACACCUUCAUUACAGUUUAAUGACAUCAUAAUUAGGGAAGAGAAGGAACGUAGGUCCAUUCCGAUGGUGUGGCGAGAAGGAUAUGUUUUCUAGGAAGAACUUUUCCACCCCUUCUGGUCAUCAGAAGAACUUGUAACAAAGAACUUGAACCUGCCUUGGUUUAGUUCCUCCUCCCUCCCAAUCUGUUUGCCUUUUGUGGAAUAUCUUUUUAGAUCCAGACCCAUCUGUUUGACCCUUGAGACACUGCCCAGGCCACACCUUGUCACAGACCACCCCCUCCUUGAGUGCUUUGGCCAGGCUGGAAUAAGGUCUCUGAACCAUGAUAUUGCCUUUUGCUUGCCAGGAUGGAUCAAUAGAGAUGUAGAAACCCCGACUUUUUCAUAGCUGGAGUAGGGUUGCCAUAUUUCAAAAAGUGAAAAUCUGGACACAAAAGUUCUUAAGCUUUUUUUCCACCAGUCCUCCCCCCCCCAAAAAAAUAAGUUUUUUUCAUCUAUUUUAAAGGAAAUUCACCAAAAUCUACACUUCCAACAUGGGAUUUCCCUAGGCAUUUCAACAAAUUCUGCCCGGACACUGCUUACAAAGGCUGAAUCCCGGUUAUGUCUGGGAAAUUCUAGACAUAUGGCAACCCUAGAAUACAGCCUACUGUACAAGCAUAAGAGUUACAGCCAUAGCUCUGCCAACUCUGGCACUUUGCCUCUGCCUGAAGAUCACUCUUGUAGCCCUCAGGCUGAAACGGGUUCCCAACCCCUGUUGUAGGAACUGCCUUGUAAACUUUUUCCUCCCUGCUGAAAUAAUAAUAAUAAUAAUAAUAAUAAUAAGUGUGUGUGUGUGUGUGUGUGUGUGUGAUCUGUGCCAAACAGAACUUUGUUGUGGUUUGUUUGUAAGAGCUGCACCAAAUUUCAUUCAUGAUUGUUUUUCAGAUGAAAGCAGGGUUUGGAAGGAUGCAACCUACUCUAACCCCGCAGCAAUGUAUUGUUUUGCCGUUUGGCACGCUGAUUGACAGAGGAAGGACAAAUGCACUGGAAAGUAUGACAAAGCAAUUGCUUGAUCCAUUCUCAUCUAACCUCCCAACAAACACCUCAGGAUGAAUGCUCAAUAAACAGACCACCCAGG